UUCACUUGCCUGGUCGGGCAAGUGGGUCAGAAAUCUACUUGCCCAAAGUCAAUUUUUACCUGCCCUUGUUCAAAUUGUUUUAUUUAUCAGCAGUUAUCAAAUAACAACAAAGACUAAAGCACAGUUUCUUUCAAAUAAUGGAAUAGACUCCGUAACCUGAUGGUGGAUGUAUGAACCUCAGUAGUGGAUGGAAAGCAGCAACCAUGUUCUCAGCGGUUUCUUGAUUUAUGCUGAAGCACUGGCCUACACUGCUCCUCAAGCCUGACUCCAUCUGAUGUCCGGCGUAUGCCCUAUUGUCAAAGAAAAUCUUCACCUUCACUAGAAAUCCUCUUGGUAAGACUUGAACUGUGGUCAGCAGAGUUGAAGGCUGAUAAAACUCAUCUACUAAACCAAACAGGUCUGUGUAUCAUUCAAUUAUGUCAUUUAAUCUGUGCUCAAGAUUUCCUUGUUGUUGUUGUUUUUUGGGUGGGUCACUUAAUAAACAAGAAAAUUAAAAUAAUAUAUCAAGUUUUAUUUCACACAAAUAUUGUUUCCUUCACAAACAGAUUCACCAGAAGUUGAUGCUGUGUAUUAGAAAGACAUUCAGGGUUUGUUUCAUCUUGAGUCAUGUAAUAACAGCCUAAUGAUCCAACAGGUACAUUUAAAUAAAAAUGUGGCCGAUAAAUAUUUUUUAUUCAUAUUUCAAUCUUUAAACAUUGCAUUAAUUUAACAAAAUGAUAACUAGUAAAACAGCUCUAUGAAGUGUAAAACAAUGAUUUCAUUCUUUGGAACAUUUUAAACAUGCAUGUUUUUAUCCUGAAUGUACAUUUACUACAUACAGUAUAUUGUGUUUCAUUUUUCUUUUGGGGCUCUGUUGCACAUCUGUAACUAAUGGCCAAGUGAGCACAGAAUUGAAUUUGUAGAUAAUUACAUUUGGUCGAGUACAAAUAAAUGUCAAAUAUUUGACAAAACAGGCUCAACUCAAGGUCCAGUUGAGGGCUUGUUCUGGAGCUUUCGACCGUAUCACACAGUCUUCAUCAGCAGAAAGUGGGUCAGGGUGCGCUGUGUUGUUUCUCAGUGUCAAGGCUUUAGAAAAGCAGCAACAUUUGCUAUGUAGCUUGUCAAAUGAUCAUGAAUGUGAAAUAAUGAGUUCUUAAAGGUAGAUUGUUUUGCAUGUUUUCAUGGAUCUUGUUUAAGUUUGACCAAUAGUUUUGUUAUUUUGGUGAAGACAAGCAAAUUUCAACACAAUUACAGGCCUUCUUGUAAAUGUGUUGUGUAAAAUAUACUGAGGAAAGACAGCAUUUCAACUUUACCAAUCAAACAGAAGAAAAAAUGCACAAACUUGUAUAUCUAAGAUGCAGUAGCUUGUUAUCAAAACACCUGUUGACAUUUCUGACCGUUGCAUCAUAUUGUUGUCAUGAACGAUCUGUUUCAUUAUCACUUGACUCAUGUUUUAAUUUCUUUCUUUAUAUACCUAUUCAGUCAUGGUUGGAAAACAGAAAAUCCAUUGCAUUAAUAAACUAUUAUACAGUAAGUGUCGGUGAACUUUCCUGCACCACACUGCAGAGUGGAGUUUCUCUUUCACUCAUUCAUUGUUUUCAAUUCGGUUUCCCAGCUGUGAGCAGGGAAAAUGCACUGCACUGUCCUCUCCUCUCCCUACCCCGUCUCGCUCCCCGUCAACUGAAGUCCUUUCAUAAUGAAUGGCAAGGUACGAUAAUAGCCUUCAGGUUGCCAUAGAAAUGAGACAGGGGCCCUGUAUGUGAUUUUUUUUUUCUUUCUUUUUUUUUUUUUUUCCUCCAAGCAUAAAUGACAGAGGACUCUGAGGAAAACUCCCCCCCACCUCACCCCACCUCACCCUCACAGGCAGCUCUGUACUUUGCUUCCAUCUCUUCCUCCUCUCACAUAUUUCCUUUAAUCAGCAUUUCUUCUUUCUUCUAGGCCUAUCUCAUCUGACUUGAUGAAUUUAUACAGGAAUUAUGUGAGUUGAAAGCGAUUAAGCUGCCAUGAAUGUAACAGAAACCAGAAGUGUUUGAUCAGUCCUCCACUAUGCAGCGUUUGUUCACAUGUCACUUGCACUACGAACAGUCCGGUCAGUUUUUAUACCUGGAGCUGUGAGGUCCACAGUCCACGCACGCUUAGAUCACAAACACCAGGACAACUUCACAAAAGCAGUCUGAUGCUGAACGAUCCAAGACUGGAGGGAGCAGAUGGAGCUUUUUCACCACACGAGGCAUCCGCCCAACUCAGGUCUCCUCCCUGCAUUGAGCAUCUCAGUGCAGCUGCUAGUGUGGCCGUUGAAACUGAGCUCUUGUGAUCUCAGUUCACAGCCAGCAGCUGCUCUCAAGCUAAACAAAGUAUUGAUCCAGUCUGUCAUUUUCACACUCUCGUGUCUGGAGGUUGGUGAAGAUGUUCGAUGUGUUUAUGUCAUGUUUGUGGUGUCAAGGAGUGGCUCGGUGAUAAAGUGAGUGUGUGUAAUGGAUGAGAUGAACCAGAGGCAGCAGGAAAGAUGUGUAAAGAACAGCUUCAUGAAUCAUCAAAGGGCAGCUAAGAUUAUCGAGAGGUGACAGCUUUAACAACUGUUGAUUUUAACAUAACAAGCAAAUAGAAUGAAUAUCUAUGAAUACAAAUGUGACAACCCGGUCUCACAUCAAAAUGUGUAAUAGCUACA
This is a long non-coding RNA of Thunnus maccoyii (southern bluefin tuna), 2647 nucleotides long. RefSeq lists it as uncharacterized. The transcript has 5 exons. The record is from RefSeq and is a predicted model, not a curated record. Lineage: Eukaryota; Metazoa; Chordata; Actinopteri; Scombriformes; Scombridae.